RNAcentral lists this ribosomal RNA (252 nucleotides) under uncultured bacterium. Its description in RNAcentral is "partial 16S ribosomal RNA". It matches the Rfam family "Bacterial small subunit ribosomal RNA", at positions 524 to 776 of the family's 1533-position model. The record is from RNAcentral.
UACGGGGGGGCAAGCGUUGUUCGGAAUUCCUGGGCGUAAAGGGCUCGUAGGCGGCCAACUAAGUCAGACGUGAAAUCCCUCGGCUUAACCGGGGAACUGCAUCUGAUACUGGAUGGCUUGAGUUCGGGAGAGGGAUGCGGAAUUCCAGGUGUAGCGGUGAAAUGCGUAGAUAUCUGGAGGAACACCGGUGGCGAAGGCGGCAUCCUGGACCGACACUGACGCUGAGGAGCGAAAGCCAGGGGAGCAAACGGG